Eurytemora carolleeae is the source of this 848-nucleotide long non-coding RNA. RefSeq lists it as uncharacterized. The record is from RefSeq and is a predicted model, not a curated record. NCBI's taxonomy places the organism in Eukaryota, Metazoa, Arthropoda, Copepoda, Calanoida, Temoridae. The transcript is spliced from 4 exons.
CAGGUUAAAUGAACAAUUGAAUAAAAUAAUCAGGGAGAAUCUGAACAAACUAAAGGCAUUAGAGAACGAUAAUUUUCGGAACAGAAGAAAGAGAAAAUCCAAACCAUUUCGAUCCAAUUUGAACUACAGAACUACUGGUUGAAAACAGUAUAUUCUGACUUGAACAAUAUCAUGUUUUCAAUUUGAACUACAGAACUACUGGCUGAAAACAGUAUAUUCUGACUUGAACAGUAUCAUGCUUUCAAUUUAAACUACAGAACUACUGGCUGAAAACAGUACCUUCUGACUUGAACAACAUCAUGUUUUCAAUGUGAACUACAAAACUACUGGCUGAAACAGUAUAUUCUGACUUGAACAAUAUCAUGUUUUCAAUUUAAGCUACAGAACUACUGGCUGAAAACAGUACCUUUUGACUUGAACAACAUCAUGUUUUCAAUUGGAACUACAGAACUACUGGCUGAAAACAGUAUAUUCUGACUUGAACAAUAUCAUGUUUUCAAUUUGAACUUCUGACUUGAACAACAUCAUAUUUUCAAUUGGAACUACAGAACUACUGGCUGAAAACAGUAUAUUCUGACUUGAACAAUAUCAUGUUUUCAAUUUGAACUACAGAACUACAGGCUGAAAACAGUAUAUUCUGACUUGAACAACAUCCUGUUUUCAAUUUGAACUACAAAACUACUGACUGAAAACAGUAGUUUCUGACUUGAACAAUAUCAUGAUUUCAAUUUGAACUACAAAACUACUGGCUGAAAACAGUAGCUUCUGACUUAAAUAAUAUCAUGUUUUUAAAUUCUAUUUUUGGAGAAAAAAUGUACGUAAAAAAUUUUGAACACAAAAUGCUGAAA